This 58-nucleotide microRNA precursor is filed under the name Echinops telfairi (small Madagascar hedgehog). RNAcentral's name for it is "Ete-Mir-105-P1_pre stem-loop". Lineage: Eukaryota; Metazoa; Chordata; Mammalia; Afrosoricida; Tenrecidae. The record is from RNAcentral.
UCAAAUGCUCAGACUCCUGUUGUGGCUGUUUGUGCACCAUGGAUUUUGAGCAUGUGCU